Molecule: ribosomal RNA, 465 nt
Filed under: uncultured bacterium
Lineage: Bacteria
Description: partial 16S ribosomal RNA
Rfam family: Bacterial small subunit ribosomal RNA
Source: RNAcentral
GACGAACGCUGGCGGCGUGCUUAACACAUGCAAGUCGAACGGAAAGGCCCUGCUUGCCGGGUACUCGAGUGGCGAACGGGUGAGUAACACGUGGGUGAUCUGCCCUGCACUUCGGGAUAAGCCUGGGAAACUGGGUCUAAUACCGGAUAGGAGCCAUUUUUAGUGUGAUGGUUGGAAAGUUUUUUCGGUGUAGGAUGAGCUCGCGGCCUAUCAGCUUGUUGGUGGGGUAAUGGCCUACCAAGGCGGCGACGGGUAGCCGGCCUGAGAGGGUGGACGGCCACAUUGGGACUGAGAUACGGCCCAGACUCCGACGGGAGGCAGCAGUGGGGAAUAUUGCACAAUGGGCGCAAGCCUGAUGCAGCGACGCCGCGGGGGGGAUGACGGCCUUCGGGUUGUAAACUCCUUUCGCUAGGGACGAAGCUUUUUGUGACGGUACCUAGAUAAGAAGCACCGGCUAACUACGUG